GGAGUGAGGCAAUGCCUCGCCCUGCUUCGGCUCGCGCACGGUGCGCGCACCCACUGGCCUGCGCCCACUGUCUGGCACUCCCUAGUGAGAUGAACCCGGUACCUCAGAUGGAAAUGCAGAAAUCACCCGUCUUCUGCGUCGCUCACGCUGGGAGCUGUAGAGCGGAGCUGUUCCUAUUCGGCCAUCUUGGCUCCUCCGGCUUACAUUCUUAGGGAUUACUUUCCUCACUUUGUUAUAUAUCCUGGAAGCUAUGAACAAUGAUGCUUCUUCAUACUCUUCAACCUCAUCAUGAUACCUUGCACGAAGCAGGAGCUCAACUAAUUUGGGUUGAGGCCAGAAUGCCAAUAGUGAGCAAAAAAGGAUGAUAUUUGACACUUGGCAUUGAAUAUCUGAAUCAUGAUGUCCACAUAACUACAGCUAUGCACCACAUAAUGAUGUUUUACUCAACAACAGACCACAUAUACAAUGGUGGUUUCAUAAGGCUAUAAAGGAGCUGAAAAUUUCUUACCACCUCAUGUCCUCAUGUCAUAGUGCAACAUAUUGCUCUUGUGUUUGCAGUGAUGCUGGCAUAAACAAACCCACUGUGCUUUCAGUUGUAUAAAACUGUAGCCCAUACAAUCAUGUACAGUACAUAAUACUCAAUGAUGAUAAACUAAAUGACUAUGUUACUGGUUUAUGUAUUUACUAUACUAUACUUUCUGUCAUUAUUUUAGAGUGUUCUUCCACUCGUUAAAAAAAAAAAAGUGUACUAUAAGACAGUUUCGGGCAGGUCCCUCAGGUGGUAUUCCAGAAGAACGUAUUAUUAUUAUAGGAGAUGACAGCUCCAUGCAUGCUAAUCCCGCUAAAGAAUUUUCAGUGUGACAAGAUAUGGUGGUGGAAGACAGUGAUAUAGAUGAUGCUGACCCUGUGUAGGCCUAGGGUAAUAUGUCUGUUUGUGUCUCUGUUUUCCACAAAAAAAGUUUAAAAAGUAAAAAGUAAUUAACAGAAAAAAGCUUAUAGAAUAAGAAUAUAGGCCAGGUGUGGUGGCUUAUGCCUGUAAUCCCAGCACUUUGGGAGGCUGAGGCGGGUGGGUCACAAGGUCAAGAGAUUGAGCCCAUCCUGGCCAACAUGAUGAAACCCCAUCUCUACUAAAAAUACAAAAAUUAGCUGGGUGUGGUGGCGCAUGCCUGUAAUCCCAGCUACUCGGGAGGCUGAGGUAGGAGAAUCACUUGAACCCGGGAAGUGGAGGUUGCACUGAGCCAAGACUGUGCCAUUGCACUCCAGCCUGGGCAACAAGAGUGAAACUCUGCCUCAAAAAAAAAAAAAAAAAAAAAGGAAUUAAAAAAAAGAAUAUAAAGAAGAAUAUAAAGAAAGAAAAAAUAUUUGUGUACAGCCGUAUGUGUUUAUGUUUUAAACUGUCAUUACAAAAGUAUCAAAAAGUUUUAAAAAGUGUAUAAAGCAAAAAGUUACAGUAAGCUAAAA
Homo sapiens (human) is the source of this 1461-nucleotide long non-coding RNA. The record is from Ensembl. Lineage: Eukaryota; Metazoa; Chordata; Mammalia; Primates; Hominidae.